UCGAUUGCAACCGGUUGGGUGCCGAAGCCCGUAGGCCGACAGCUGCACACGCACGCACACACGCACGCACACACACACACACACACACAAUCAUACGCAAAGACGCUCACGCCCGACCACGCCCACUCGCACGCACUUGGUCUUCUUGAAUCGUGUUUGUUCGUAUACAUUUUUACUUUGCAUCGGGGUGCGUUCCCCACCCCUUCCUCACCCGCGGCUCGCUUUCGGGAUUUCCGGAGACACAGAGGGAACGACGACGAGCGGACCUUCGCUCGUUUGCGCUCCCCCCUUCGUCCAUUGCCAUCAUUGCCGGCGUGGCGAUGCCGCUGCUGCCUCUCUCUUCCACGCUCACGAGUAGAGCGUGGGGGGAUCCCACUUCGUCCAUCACCGCCUUCAAGGUGCGCGAGAAGCACGAAGCAGGCAUGCGCCUGCUACAAGGUGGGCUCGUCUAUGAGGCAAUCCAGCUCUUCCAGGAAGCGUCCUUCUUCGACGCGGAAAACGUACGGCCCAUCGUGGCGCUCGCUGAGUGCUACGUCUUCCUGUGCGACCUGCGGUCCGCCGUUCGCUGCUACCGGCGGGCACUGUUGUCGCUGCACAAGAAAGAUAUGGAUGACUACUGCCGCCGCGCUAACGAAAACCCGACCGACACUGUCGAUGAGGUCUCUGCCACUCACAGCUGUCGCGUUGACGCGCCGAACUCACCCGAGAGGACGUGGCGGAAUGGUGGUAAAACGCGUUCCUCUGACGUUCCAGAUGAUAUGAGAGGAGGGACAUGGGAGGCUCGCCUGAAGACGGCGCAGGACCCCGCGCCUGCAUCCUUCCAGUCUGCCGGAGGUAGCAGUCCGUCAGACUGCUCUAUCCAAGGCUUUGCGGACGGCCUACAUUCAACGGAGAUGGCCGCGCGCUUCUCCGAGCAACAGCCUUCUCUAGCGAAAUCAGUCGACUCGGCUGCGAGCGAGGUUCCAGCGACGACGCUGAGCCUACCAGCACCAGGUGCAGCGCCCACCCUGAAGGACAUACGCGCGCGCCUUGCGGGAGUGCUCGAUGCCCUGGGACUGUCUCUGUAUCAGCUCGGCAGCGUCGAGCAAGCUCUCCGUUGCACCAACGAGGCCCUGGAGCUGCUGGACGCCGCCGAACGGGUAGGCGAGGGUGAGGACGAGGACAUACCCUCGAGCAAGUCGCCACAGUUCCUAGUCGACCCGACGAUUGCGCUACAUCGCGGCGUGUACCUGAUAGCGCUGCAACGCGACGAGGAAGCAGAGGCGCUGCUUGAGGAUCACUUCGCCAUCUUUCCGCGCUGGCGUCCUCAGACGGCCGCGCUUCUGGUUCAGCUCUACUGCAACCGCCAAGCCUUCCGCAAGGCGCGAGUGCUGCUGGAGGCGCAGGAGGAGAAGGAGGCGUGUAACACGGACUCGAGCAAGGCGCCGAUCGAAGUCCACGGCAACGUCCAUGAGGGGCUGUGUAGUGCACGACGGAGGACUCUGGCCCCGUCGCUGCCGUCCAGCGCGGACGCACUGGGGUCGCUGGCGGUCGCCAAAUACCUCUUCACCGAGCUGUAUGCGCGCUACCGCACGGCAGCGCUCGCGAGCAACGAUGAGGCCAGCAUCACCCGCUGCCUCAGCAUUUACUCGAAUGACUUUGACCUGCUGUUCCGCCGAGCGCAGCUGAGCGUCGCGGCGGGGAAGCACAAGCAGAGCGUCAAGGACCUGUUCCGCUGCGUGCGAGAGACGAACGGUGAACACAAGGAAGCGAUUGAAGUGAUGACGACGGUGCUCUUCACGAUUGGCUCCUCCUUGAACGGCGAGGCCGAGGUUCAGGACGCGGUUACCUACUACUCUGAGUCGCUCAAGUGGCGCCCGGACAACGUGCUCGUGCUGCUGGCGCGUGGCGACUGCUAUACCAAAAUGGAGUGCUUUGAGGAGGCGCUCGCGGACUACGAGGCGGUCCUGGGCUUGGAGUCAGACCAGCGUGACGCGCGACAGCGAAUCGCCUCGUUGCACGACCUGUGGGGCCGCAAGCUCUUCGCCCAGAACCAGCCGGAGCAGGCGGAGGUGGAGUUCACCAACGCCAUCAAGACGGACGGUCGGAACCCGCAGUUUUACUAUCAUCGUGCUCUCUGCCGCCUCAAGCUCGAUCAGGGACGCUACGCGUUGCGCGACGUGCUCUCCUGCAAGGAGCUCCACCCCACCGCACCGCACCUUCGUGCCUUUAUUGCGCGGUACCUGGAGCCGGUGCAGCCGCCGGAGGCCAGCCAACGCCGCAACACGCCCCACGCUGCCAAGAGACGGGCUGCGGCGGCCUCAGUGUGUGCGGCACGCGCGCCGCCACCACUUAGUGACUGCGAAGAACUGCCCGCGUUGCAGCGGAGGCGUGAUAGUGACACGGCCGACACCUCGUUGCACCCCGCCAACGGUGGCGCCUCGACAGCGACUGGCGUGCUUCCCAGGAUCCAGCGCCGGGCAUCCUUGCAAAAACGCUCUGCCGUCGUGGGGUGGGUGCAAGGCUGCCAAACGACGCUGCACCGACGUGAGACAGGGGUGCAUGCCCCCGUGAAAUAGGAUGCAUGUGUGCGCUGUUUGUGCGUAUGCGACGCGGUUUUGCGCUCUUUCAAGAGUAGGGAGAGAAGAGGCAACCCUCCUCUUGCCCCUCUCCCCCCAUCCCCCCGUGCGCACAACUGUGAACACCACGAUAACGAAGAGGUAAGCCGAGAGCUGGUCCCUGCAGUGUGCCCCUUGUGCGUCUACCCCAACCCCAACCCCGCCUCUCUUCUCGCGUGGAAUGUAUAGUGUGAGUAGUAGUGGCGUGGGCCUUCUUUGUGUUUCUCAUCUCUUACUUUUGCAUCCACUCGGAACCGAAUCUGUUCUGUUUCUUUCUUUAGUGUGUGCGUGCUCUCUCUUCCUGCAGUGCACACAGCUGCCGACGUUUGCUGCUCUCGUAAUCCACUGCACCUCAGUCACUGCUGAGCCAAGU
RNAcentral lists this unclassified non-coding RNA (2970 nucleotides) under Leishmania donovani. Its description in RNAcentral is "gene:LdHU3.36.2420(CDS-product:Tetratricopeptide_ repeat/TPR_repeat_putative)". Lineage: Eukaryota; Euglenozoa; Kinetoplastea; Trypanosomatida; Trypanosomatidae. The record is from RNAcentral.